AGAUGUGUUUAUUUUGGAGCCUACACCAGCGCCUUUUUUGUUUGCUCUUUCCGGCAAUUCCCCAGUGAGGAAGCCCCUGGAGGAAAGUCUUUCGCUACCGUCGGCACUGGAGGGGUGAGAGCUGUAAAAGGGAGAAUUGGGAACGGCAUGGGGUUGGCCACUCCAGCACUUGAGCAGCUUUCUUCUGCGUUAGGAAGCCUGGGGAGAGGGGAACUGGCUAAAGGGCAAAAUGUCACUGAGGAACUUCGGAGAAGAUGGGGACAAGGCGUCGGGCGGGGGAGCCAGCGCUCAGGAGCCCAGGCACCAUACUGUCUUUUCGAGGUAUGGUGCUGGGUGCAGAUGCAGUGUGGCUCUGGAUAGCACCUUAUGGACAGUUGUGUCCCCAAGGAAGGAUGAGAAUAGCUACUGAAGUCCUAAAGAGCAAGCCUAACUCAAGCCAUUGGCACACAGGCAUUAGACAGAAAGCUGGAAGUUGAAAUGGUGGAGUCCAACUUGCCUGGACCAGCUUAAUGGUUCUGCUCCUGGUAACGUUUUUAUCCAUGGAUGACUUGCUUGGGUAUGGAGAGUCGGCUUGACUACACUGUGUGGAGCAAGUUUUAAAGAAGCAAAGGACUCAGAAUUCAUGAUUGAAGAAAUGCAGGCAGACCUGUUAUCCUAAACUAGGGUUUUUAAUGACCACAACAAGCAAGCAUGCAGCUUACUGCUUGAAAGGGUCUUGCCUCACCCAAGCUAGAGUGCAGUGGCCUUUGAAGCUUACUACAGCCUCAAACUUCUGGGCUCAAGUGAUCCUCAGCCUCCCAGUGGUCUUUGUAGACUGCCUGAUGGAGUCUCAUGGCACAAGAAGAUUAAAACAGUGUCUCCAAUUUUAAUAAAUUUUUGCAAUCCA
Molecule: long non-coding RNA, 886 nt
Filed under: Homo sapiens (human)
Lineage: Eukaryota; Metazoa; Chordata; Mammalia; Primates; Hominidae
Description: growth arrest specific 5, transcript variant 2 (GAS5)
Source: RNAcentral